Molecule: ribosomal RNA, 747 nt
Filed under: Triticum aestivum (bread wheat)
Lineage: Eukaryota; Viridiplantae; Streptophyta; Magnoliopsida; Poales; Poaceae
Description: partial small subunit ribosomal RNA
Source: RNAcentral
AUGAGCCGUUGCUCCUUCCUAAGCGUACUCAGCUACGAUAUAUCGUCGCCGUCUGUGCGAUGCCUGAGCAUCACGGACUGUGAUUUUCGUCGCAUUGACGAGAAGAAACAGGCCAUCAUCUCUGUGCCAAGCCUCGUCUACCUGGAGCUGGCCGCGGAACGUGGCAUGGUUCCCGCGUUUGAGAGCACGCCGUCCUUGCUAUCCGCAUCUAUCAAGCUUGAAGACAGUGCUCACUCUUGGAUUAGGGACGAAAAAGAUGCUUCCUUGCUCCUUGAACGCUUCUCAGAUGUUACCACUAGUCUAGACCUCAUAGCUGACCGUCAACAGCUUGCUUUCAGGAAAGAUUUAAAACUGUGCGCUACAUUUACCAAGCUCAGAAUCUUGUCACUCAAUGAUUGGUGUGUGGAGCCUGAUUUUGGCCCACUGCUCUACAUUCUCCGGCGGUCACCAAGUCUGGAGAAGCUUCGCCUCCGGCUAUCUAAGCCAUAUCUAGCUGCUGAGGAAACCGACGGAAGCUACGAUUCGACAGAACCAUUUUUGGUGUCAAAGCAUCUCAAGGUCGUCGAGAUUAAAUGUCGGGCAAAAGACGAGAGAGCUCACAGAAUUUCGAAGGCCCUUUGUUCCUAUGGAGUAUCUGCUGAUAAAAUCAACAUCAAGGAAAGAAUACGGUCCUCCGAUGGAAUAUAUUAUGAGUCUGACACGUCAAUCCAUUCGUAUUCAGAUCCGGAGAAAUAUCAGUUAGAUUAA